This 71-nucleotide transfer RNA is filed under the name Loxodonta africana (African savanna elephant). It matches the Rfam family "tRNA". From Rfam's summary of the family: Transfer RNA (tRNA) molecules are approximately 80 nucleotides in length. Their secondary structure includes four short double-helical elements and three loops (D, anti-codon, and T loops). The record is from Rfam by way of RNAcentral. Lineage: Eukaryota; Metazoa; Chordata; Mammalia; Proboscidea; Elephantidae.
GCCCUGGUGGCUCAGUGGUUAAAGCGCUCAGCUGCUAACUGAAAGUUUGGCAGCUCGAACCUACCAGUGCU